GUGAGGAAUAUUGGUCAAUGGGCGAGAGCCUGAACCAGCCAAGUCGCGUGAAGGAAGAAGGAUCUAUGGUUCGUAAACUUCUUUUGCAGGGGAAUAAAGUGCGGGACGUGUCCUGUUUUGUAUGUACCCUGAGAAUAAGGAUCGGCUAACUCCGUGCCAGCAGCCGCGGUAAUACGGAGGAUCCGAGCGUUAUCCGGAUUUAUUGGGUUUAAAGGGUGCGUAGGUGGUUUGAUAAGUCAGCGGUGAAAGUUUGCAGCUUAACUGUAAAAAUGCCGUUGAAACUGUCGGACUUGAGUGUAAAUGAGGUAGGCGGAAUGCGUGGUGUAGCGGUGAAAUGCAUAGAUAUCACGCAGAACUCCGAUUGCGAAGGCAGCUUACUAAGCUACAACUGACACUGAAGCACGAAAGCGUGGGGAUCAAACAGGAUUAGAUACCCGAGUAGUC
Molecule: ribosomal RNA, 444 nt
Filed under: uncultured bacterium
Lineage: Bacteria
Description: partial 16S ribosomal RNA
Rfam family: Bacterial small subunit ribosomal RNA
Source: RNAcentral